RNAcentral lists this ribosomal RNA (239 nucleotides) under uncultured bacterium. RNAcentral's name for it is "partial 16S ribosomal RNA". It matches the Rfam family "Bacterial small subunit ribosomal RNA", at positions 524 to 758 of the family's 1533-position model. The record is from RNAcentral.
UACGUAGGGUGCGAGCGUUGUCCGGAAUUAUUGGGCGUAAAGAGCUCGUAGGUGGUUUGUCGCGUUGUUCGUGAAAAACUCACAGCUUAACUGUGGGCGUGCGGGCGAUACGGGGCAGACUUGAGUACUGCAGGGGGAGACUGGAAAUUCCUGGUGUAGCGGUGGAAUGCGCAGAUAUCAGGAGGAACACCGGUGGCGAAGGCGGGGUCUCUGGGGCAGUAACUACGUGAGGAGCGAAA